Molecule: ribosomal RNA, 229 nt
Filed under: uncultured bacterium
Lineage: Bacteria
Description: partial 16S ribosomal RNA
Rfam family: Bacterial small subunit ribosomal RNA
Source: RNAcentral
UCCGUAGGUGGACCGUUAAGUCAGAGGUGAAAUCCUGCAGCUCAACUGUAGAAUUGCCUUUGAUACUGGCGGUCUUGAAUCAUUGUGAAGUGGUUAGAAUAUGUGGUGUAGCGGUGAAAUGCAUAGAUAUCACAUAGAAUACCGAUUGCGAAGGCAGAUCACUAACAAUGUAUUGACACUGAUGGACGAAAGCGUGGGGAGCGAACAGGAUUAGAUACCCUGGUAGUCC